AGAGGUGUGGCCAAGAGGAUACGGCAAUCGGCUUUGACCCGAUGAUCGCUGGUUCGAAUCCAGCCAUCUCUG
This 72-nucleotide transfer RNA is filed under the name Caudoviricetes sp. Its description in RNAcentral is "tRNA-Gln". It matches the Rfam family "tRNA". From Rfam's summary of the family: Transfer RNA (tRNA) molecules are approximately 80 nucleotides in length. Their secondary structure includes four short double-helical elements and three loops (D, anti-codon, and T loops). Lineage: Duplodnaviria; Heunggongvirae; Uroviricota; Caudoviricetes. The record is from RNAcentral.